Molecule: ribosomal RNA, 253 nt
Filed under: uncultured bacterium
Lineage: Bacteria
Description: partial 16S ribosomal RNA
Rfam family: Bacterial small subunit ribosomal RNA
Source: RNAcentral
UACAGAGGUGGCAAGCGUUGUUCGGAAUUACUGGGCGUAAAGGGCGCGUAGGCGGCCAUCUAAGUCAGACGUGAAAUCCCCCGGCUUAACCUGGGAACUGCGUCUGAUACUGGACGGCUUGAGUAUGGGAGAGGGAUGUAGAAUUCCAGGUGUAGCGGUGAAAUGCGUAGAUAUCUGGAGGAACACCGGUGGCGAAGGCGACAUCCUGGUCCGGUAUUGACGCUGAGGCGCGAAAGCCAGGGGAGCAAACGGG